AUCCAUUUGAAAAGUCUCAAAUAGAACGAAAUGCGCGUCCUAGAU
This 45-nucleotide non-coding RNA is filed under the name Schistosoma bovis. Lineage: Eukaryota; Metazoa; Platyhelminthes; Trematoda; Strigeidida; Schistosomatidae. The record is from RNAcentral. RNAcentral also lists the same sequence under 1 other name.